RNAcentral lists this unclassified non-coding RNA (229 nucleotides) under uncultured fungus. RNAcentral's name for it is "sequence contains ITS1, 5.8S rRNA gene". The stretch from base 181 to 229 matches the Rfam family "5.8S ribosomal RNA", at positions 1 to 49 of the family's 154-position model. The record is from RNAcentral. Lineage: Eukaryota; Fungi.
UCUCCGUAGGUGUACCUGCGGAGGGAUCAUUACUGAGUGAGGGCUCACGCCCGACCUCCAACCCUUUGUGAACACAUCUUGUUGCUUCGGGGGCGACCCUGCCGGCACUCGGUCGCCGGGCGCCCCCGAAGGUCUCCAAACACUGCAUCUUUGCGUCGGAGUUUGAAACAAAUGAAACAAAACUUUCAACAACGGAUCUCUUGGUUCUGGCAUUGAUGAAGAACACAGC